RNAcentral lists this ribosomal RNA (468 nucleotides) under uncultured bacterium. RNAcentral describes it as "partial 16S ribosomal RNA". It matches the Rfam family "Bacterial small subunit ribosomal RNA", at positions 28 to 507 of the family's 1533-position model. The record is from RNAcentral.
GACGAACGCUGGCGGCGUGCUUAACACAUGCAAGUCGAACGGAAAGGCCCUGCUUUUGUGGGGUGCUCGAGUGGCGAACGGGUGAGUAACACGUGAGUAACCUGCCCUUGACUUUGGGAUAACUUCAGGAAACUGGGGCUAAUACCGGAUAGGAGCUCCUGCUGCAUGGUGGGGGUUGGAAAGUUUCGGCGGUUGGGGAUGGACUCGCGGCUUAUCAGCUUGUUGGUGGGGUAGUGGCUUACCAAGGCUUUGACGGGUAGCCGGCCUGAGAGGGUGACCGGCCACAUUGGGACUGAGAUACGGCCCAGACUCCUACGGGAGGCAGCAGGGGGGAAUAUUGUACAAUGGGCGGAAGCCUGAGGCAGAAACGCUGCGUGCGGGAUGACGGCCUUCGGGUUGUAAACCGCUUUCGCCUGUGACGAAGCGUGAGUGACGGUAAUGGGUAAAGAAGCACCGGCUAACUACGUG